RNAcentral lists this ribosomal RNA (353 nucleotides) under Salmonella enterica subsp. enterica serovar Corvallis. RNAcentral's name for it is "bacterial SSU rRNA". It matches the Rfam family "Bacterial small subunit ribosomal RNA", at positions 1191 to 1533 of the family's 1533-position model. The record is from RNAcentral. Lineage: Bacteria; Pseudomonadati; Pseudomonadota; Gammaproteobacteria; Enterobacterales; Enterobacteriaceae.
CAUCAUGGCCCUUACGACCAGGGCUACACACGUGCUACAAUGGCGCAUACAAAGAGAAGCGACCUCGCGAGAGCAAGCGGACCUCAUAAAGUGCGUCGUAGUCCGGAUUGGAGUCUGCAACUCGACUCCAUGAAGUCGGAAUCGCUAGUAAUCGUGGAUCAGAAUGCCACGGUGAAUACGUUCCCGGGCCUUGUACACACCGCCCGUCACACCAUGGGAGUGGGUUGCAAAAGAAGUAGGUAGCUUAACCUUCGGGAGGGCGCUUACCACUUUGUGAUUCAUGACUGGGGUGAAGUCGUAACAAGGUAACCGUAGGGGAACCUGCGGUUGGAUCACCUCCUUACCUUAAAGAA